RNAcentral lists this ribosomal RNA (241 nucleotides) under uncultured bacterium. RNAcentral's name for it is "partial 16S ribosomal RNA". It matches the Rfam family "Bacterial small subunit ribosomal RNA", at positions 67 to 334 of the family's 1533-position model. The record is from RNAcentral.
CGCUUCUCUUCGGAGAGGAGUGGCGCACGGGUGAGUAACGCGUGGGAACCUGCCCUGGGGUGGGGGAUAACCGAUGGAAACGUCGGCUAAUACCGCAUACGUCCUCCGGGAGAAAGAUUUAUCGCCCUGGGAGGGGCCCGCGUCGGAUUAGGUAGUUGGUGGGGUAACGGCCUACCAAGCCUGCGAUCCGUAGCUGGUCUGAGAGGAUGAUCAGCCACACUGGGACUGAGACACGGCCCAG